This 253-nucleotide ribosomal RNA is filed under the name uncultured bacterium. RNAcentral describes it as "partial 16S ribosomal RNA". It matches the Rfam family "Bacterial small subunit ribosomal RNA", at positions 524 to 776 of the family's 1533-position model. The record is from RNAcentral.
UACGUAGGGUGCGAGCGUUGUCCGGAAUUAUUGGGCGUAAAGAGCUUGUAGGCGGUUUGUCGCGUCUGCCGUGAAAAUCCGGGGCUCAACCCCGGACUUGCGGUGGGUACGGGCAGACUAGAGUGUGGUAGGGGAGACUGGAAUUCCUGGUGUAGCGGUGAAAUGCGCAGAUAUCAGGAGGAACACCGGUGGCGAAGGCGGCAUCCUGGACCGACAUUGACGCUGAGGAGCGAAAGCCAGGGGAGCAAACGGG